GACGAACGCUGGCGGCGUGCUUAACACAUGCAAGUCGAACGAUGAUGCCAGCUUGCUGGUGGAUUAGUGGCGAACGGGUGAGUAACACGUGAGCAACCUGCCCCUGACUUCGGGAUAACCGCGGGAAACCGUGGCUAAUACCGGAUAUGACGCGCUAUCGCAUGGUGGUGUGUGGAAAGAUUUAUCGGUUGGGGAUGGGCUCGCGGCCUAUCAGCUUGUUGGUGGGUUGAUGGCCUACCAAGGCGACGACGGGUAGCCGGCCUGAGAGGGUGACCGGCCACACUGGGACUGAGACACGGCCCAGACUCCUACGGGAGGCAGCAGUGGGGAAUAUUGCACAAUGGGCGCAAGCCUGAUGCAGCGACGCCGCGUGAGGGAUGACGGCCUUCGGGUUGUAAACCUCUUUCAGUAGGGAAGAAGGCCUUCGGGUUGACGGUACCUGCAGAAGAAGCGCCGGCUAACUACGUG
RNAcentral lists this ribosomal RNA (468 nucleotides) under uncultured bacterium. Its description in RNAcentral is "partial 16S ribosomal RNA". It matches the Rfam family "Bacterial small subunit ribosomal RNA", at positions 28 to 507 of the family's 1533-position model. The record is from RNAcentral.